UACGUAGGGGGCUAGCGUUGUCCGGAAUUAUUGGGCGUAAAGAGCGUGUAGGCGGUCCGGUAAGUCCGCUGUAAAAGUCAAAGGCUCAACCUUUGAAUGUCAGUGGAUACUGCCGGGCUAGAGUCCGGAAGAGGCGAGUGGAACUCCUGGUGUAGCGGUGGAAUGCGCAGAUAUCAGGAAGAACACCCGUGGCGAAGGCGGCUCUCUGGGACGGUACUGACGCUGAGACGCGAAAGCGUGGGGAGCGAACAGG
This 253-nucleotide ribosomal RNA is filed under the name uncultured bacterium. Its description in RNAcentral is "partial 16S ribosomal RNA". It matches the Rfam family "Bacterial small subunit ribosomal RNA", at positions 524 to 776 of the family's 1533-position model. The record is from RNAcentral.